This 271-nucleotide ribosomal RNA is filed under the name uncultured archaeon. RNAcentral describes it as "partial 16S ribosomal RNA". It matches the Rfam family "Archaeal small subunit ribosomal RNA", at positions 477 to 747 of the family's 1478-position model. The record is from RNAcentral.
CGGCACCUCAAGUGGUCAGGAUGAUUAUUGGGCCUAAAGCGUCCGUAGCCGGCCUAGUAAAUCUCUUGUGAAAUCGUUGCGCAUAACGUAACGGCGUGCAGGAGACACUGCUAGACUUGGAACCGGGAGGAGUCAGAGGUAUGCAAGGGGUAGCGGUAAAAUGUUAUAAUCCUUUGUAGACCACCUGUGGCGAAGGCGUCUGACCAGAACGGAUUCGACGGUGAGGGACGAAAGCUAGGGGAGCGAUCCGGAUUAGAUACCCGAGUAGUCC